RNAcentral lists this ribosomal RNA (468 nucleotides) under uncultured bacterium. RNAcentral describes it as "partial 16S ribosomal RNA". It matches the Rfam family "Bacterial small subunit ribosomal RNA", at positions 28 to 507 of the family's 1533-position model. The record is from RNAcentral.
GACGAACGCUGGCGGCGUGCUUAACACAUGCAAGUCGAACGGAAAGGCCCUGCUUUUGUGGGGUGCUCGAGUGGCGAACGGGUGAGUAACACGUGAGUAACCUGCCCUUGACUUUGGGAUAACUUCAGGAAACUGGGGCUAAUACCGGAUAGGUGCUCCUGCUGCAUGGGGGGGGUUGGAAAGUUUCGGCGGUUGGGGAUGGACUCGCGGCUUAUCAGCUUGUUGGUGGGGUAGUGGCUUACCAAGGCUUUGACGGAUAGCCGGCCUGAGAGGGUGACCGGCCACAUUGGGACUGAGAUACGGACCAGACUCGUACGGGAGGCAGCAGUGGGGAAUAUUGCACAAUGGGCGGAAGCGUGAUGCAGCAACGCCGCGUGCGGGAUGACGGCCUUCGGGUUGUAAACCGCUUUCGCCUGUGACGAAGCGUGAGUGACGGUAAUGGGUAAAGAAGCACCGGCUAACUACGUG